Long non-coding RNA from Nannospalax galili (Upper Galilee mountains blind mole rat), 651 nucleotides. RefSeq lists it as uncharacterized. NCBI's taxonomy places the organism in Eukaryota, Metazoa, Chordata, Mammalia, Rodentia, Spalacidae. The record is from RefSeq and is a predicted model, not a curated record. The transcript has 3 exons.
ACCUGUGACAUAGAGACUCCAUCUACAACUUGACUCUUUUCGGUUCUCCAACCUCAUCCUCGCACACAGGCUCCGAGAAUAUACUCUGAUCCUCCUCAUAGAAGCAGCCCUGUGGACAUCUAAAUAGCCUCACAGUGCAGUUUUUGUUCCUAUUUGUAGCACCGUGUUAACCAAUGGUGUACUUUGCAAUCAAUAAUGAACUCCAACAUCCUCGGGUCCGGCUUUACUGAUAUUCAUUGUGAAAUCUGUCCUGACCCACUGCUACUGAAACUUUCUGGAACACCAGGUCACCGUUUUGAAAUCAAAUAAAUCAGGAGCUGGCUUGUGUACAAGCUGAAGAAAAGUGCUGUUUCCAUUACUAAGUAGAUGGCUCUGACUUCAACUGCAGGAGAUGGAGGUCGGUUCUUCAGGGAUGAUGGACACAGAGUGAAGAUUGGGUCAUCUUAACUACUCAGUGAAUCCAAAAUAAAUGAGGAAGAAGUUCAAGGGAUCCAGAAUAUUAGCACCACCAAGAAAUGAGCAAGAUUCCUCCUCUUGAGAAGCUGAAUUAAGGAUUCCAGAUCAGUCCAGGCAAGGUACAACGUAUUGUGGAAGAGCCCUUUUGAUCAUGACUUCUUUCAGAUAAGUGUGUCCAUGUCCAUAUAUACUACC